RNAcentral lists this ribosomal RNA (492 nucleotides) under uncultured bacterium. RNAcentral's name for it is "partial 16S ribosomal RNA". It matches the Rfam family "Bacterial small subunit ribosomal RNA", at positions 29 to 507 of the family's 1533-position model. The record is from RNAcentral.
AGUGAACGCUGGCGGUAGGCCUAACACAUGCAAGUCGAACGGCAGCACAGUAAGAGCUUGCUCUUACGGGUGGCGAGUGGCGGACGGGUGAGGAAUACAUCGGAAUCUACUUUUUCGUGGGGGAUAACGUAGGGAAACUUACGCUAAUACCGCAUACGACCUACGGGUGAAAGCAGGGGAUCUUCGGACCUUGCGCGAUUGAAUGAGCCGAUGUCGGAUUAGCUAGUUGGCGGGGUAAAGGCCCACCAAGGCGACGAUCCGUAGCUGGUCUGAGAGGAUGAUCAGCCACACUGGAGCUGAGACACGGUCCAGACUCCUACGGGAGGCAGCAGUGGGGGAUAUUGGACAAUGGGCGCAAGCCUGAUCCAGCCAUACCGCGUGGGUGAAGAAGGCCUUCGGGUUGUAAAGCCCUUUUGUUGGGAAAGAAAAGCAGCAGGUUAAUACCCCGCUGUUCUGACGGUACCCAAAGAAUAAGCACCGGCUAACUUCGUG